Molecule: ribosomal RNA, 261 nt
Filed under: uncultured bacterium
Lineage: Bacteria
Description: partial 16S ribosomal RNA
Rfam family: Bacterial small subunit ribosomal RNA
Source: RNAcentral
CUUGCUCCGAUCGGAUUAGUGGCGGACGGGUGAGUGACGCGUGGGUAACCUGCCUGCGAGAGGGGGAUAACAACGGGAAACUGUUGCUAAUACCGCAUAACGCAUCGAUUCCGCAUGGAGAUGAUGCCAAGGGAAACCGCUUGCAGAUGGACUCGCGUCUGAUUAGGUAGUUGGUGAGGUAACGGCUCACCAAGCCGACGAUCAGUAGCCGGACUGAGAGGUUGAACGGCCACAUUGGAACUGAGAUACGGUCCAGACUCC